This 189-nucleotide ribosomal RNA is filed under the name Eutreptiella gymnastica. RNAcentral describes it as "partial Eukaryotic large subunit ribosomal RNA". The record is from RNAcentral. Lineage: Eukaryota; Euglenozoa; Euglenophyceae; Eutreptiales; Eutreptiaceae.
UUGGGCCCAACUUGUAGCAAUAUGCUGCACCAUGUGGGCCGUUACUGAUAAGCCGUGCUAUUGAUUCGCGAUGAUUCAAGAGUGUGGAUGCAGGGGAUGCAAAAUCCACAAAGGACAUUGUUUCCUGGACAUAGCAAGGCAAUGGCCAUGAAGGUUGGAAUCUGAGUGUGUAACAACCCAACUGCUGAU